AGAGUUUGAUUAUGGCUCAAGAUGAACGCUGGCGGCGUGCUUAACACAUGCAAGUCGAACGGGGUACCCUUGAAAGAGGCUUCGGCCAACAGAUAGGAAUACCUAGUGGCGGACGGGUGAGUAACGCGUGAGGAACCUGCCUUGGAGUGGGGAAUAACAGUUAGAAAUAGCUGCUAAUACCGCAUAAUGCAGUUGGGUCGCAUGACUCUGACUGCCAAAGAUUUAUCGCUCUGAGAUGGCCUCGCGUCUGAUUAGAUAGUUGGCGGGGUAACGGCCCACCAAGUCGACGAUCAGUAGCCGGACUGAGAGGUUGGCCGGCCACAUUGGGACUGAGACACGGCCCAGACUCCUACGGGAGGCAGCAGUGGGGAAUAUUGGGCAAUGGGCGCAAGCCUGACCCAGCAACGCCGCGUGAAGGAAGAAGGCCCUCGGGUUGUAAACUUCUUUUAACAGGGACGAAGAAAGUGACGGUACCUGUUGAAUAAGCCACGGCUAACUACGUGCCAGCAGCCGCGGUAAUACGUAUGUGGCAAGCGUUAUCCGGAUUUACUGGGUGUAAAGGGCGUG
RNAcentral lists this ribosomal RNA (567 nucleotides) under uncultured bacterium. RNAcentral's name for it is "bacterial SSU rRNA". It matches the Rfam family "Bacterial small subunit ribosomal RNA", at positions 8 to 571 of the family's 1533-position model. The record is from RNAcentral.